RNAcentral lists this ribosomal RNA (433 nucleotides) under uncultured bacterium. RNAcentral's name for it is "partial 16S ribosomal RNA". It matches the Rfam family "Bacterial small subunit ribosomal RNA", at positions 29 to 507 of the family's 1533-position model. The record is from RNAcentral.
AACGAACGCUGGCGGCAUGCCUAACACAUGCAAGUCGAACGAGACCUUCGGGUCUAGUGGCGCACGGGUGCGUAACGCGUGGGAACCUGCCCUUAGGUUCGGAAUAACUCCCCGAAAGGGGUGCUAAUACCGGAUAAUGUCUUCGGACCAAAGAUUUAUCGCCUUUGGAUGGGCCCGCGUUGGAUUAGCUAGUUGGUAGGGUAAAAGCCUACCAAGGCGACGAUCCAUAGCUGGUCUGAGAGGAUGAUCAGCCACACUGGGACUGAGACACGGCCCAGACUCCUACGGGAGGCAGCAGUGGGGAAUAUUGGACAAUGGGCGAAAGCCUGAUCCGGCAAUGCCGCGUGAGUGAUGAAGGCCUUAGGGUUGUAAAGCUCUUUUACCCGAGAUGAUAAUGACAGUACCGGGAGAAUAAGCUCCGGCUAACUCCGUG